This 458-nucleotide ribosomal RNA is filed under the name uncultured bacterium. Its description in RNAcentral is "partial 16S ribosomal RNA". It matches the Rfam family "Bacterial small subunit ribosomal RNA", at positions 338 to 795 of the family's 1533-position model. The record is from RNAcentral.
CCUACGGGAGGCAGCAGUGGGGAAUAUUGCACAAUGGGGGAAACCCUGAUGCAGCGACGCCGCGUGAGUGAAGAAGUAAUUCGUUACGUAAAGCUCUAUCAGUAGGGAAGAAAUACUGACCUUACGGUCAGCAGACGGUACCUGAGUAAGAAGCCCCGGCUAACCACGUGCCAGAAGCCGCGGUAAUACGUAGGGGGCAAGCGUUAUCCGGAUUUACGGGGGGUAAAGGGAGAGUAGACGGUGCGGCAAGUAUGGAGUGAAAUGCCGCGGCUUAACCGCGGAACUGCUUUGGAAAUUGGCGAACUAGAGUGCGGGAGGGGUAAGCGGAAUUCCUAGUGUAGCGGUGAAAUGCGUAGAUAUUAGGAGGAACACCGGUGGCGAAGGCGACUUACUGGACCGUAACUGACGUUGAGGCUCGAAAGCGUGGGGAGCAAACAGGAUUAGAUACCCCGGUAGUC